AGUGUGAGCAGCGAGCGAAUGAGCAAGAGCGUGUGACAACAGAGGAUGACAGGCUGUGAGGUUCGAAGCAGGAAGGACACACUCCAUAAGUCUCGGCACUGCUCAUCAGCCCAUGUGUCAGCACGCUCUUGCUGAUGGGAGCAGCGGGGAGAAACGCCAUACUGGGAAGUCACUGCUGGUGUGGGACAAGUUACAAGAUGCUUCUGGGGGAGGAAAAUGUGUAUCAUCAACUCCUCAGGACAGUGAAGCCUGCUCAGUCUAGACUUACAUGAGAGACUACUCAAUGACUCUCACAGAAAAGAGAUCUUCCCAAGGUGACAUCUUCUCCUCCUAAGCCAAUAAGGUCAUCUUACUCACAGUCCACUUCCAGGAACUGACCCCAAAUGGACAGAAUCUACUUAUAUCAUGGCACAGCUGUCAACUUCUCUUGCUAAAGAAGAGAAUAACGCUCACAAAAUUGCCCCAGAUGGCGGUGCAACAUUUUUGGGCCAAGUACUACAACUGAAAAGCAUGAACAGAGUUUUACCAGCGGGUUACAGCUCUUGUUUAACUUCUAGAAAACUAGUGACAUGCUCUUGGAGAAGCCCCUCUUACAGAAGGCCAAAGAAGCUGAGAAAGCACAGAGGAAAUAAUCAAGGCUCACCUGGGAAAGCAACACAGCUUCACCAUCAUUCUCUCGUCCCUGAGAAAAUAAAUCAAAACAAACAAGUAUAUUGAGCACUGGGUGUUCAAAACCACAUGAA
RNAcentral lists this long non-coding RNA (743 nucleotides) under Homo sapiens (human). RNAcentral describes it as "non-protein coding lnc-TIGIT-1:1". Lineage: Eukaryota; Metazoa; Chordata; Mammalia; Primates; Hominidae. The record is from RNAcentral.